Molecule: transfer RNA, 73 nt
Filed under: Funneliformis mosseae
Lineage: Eukaryota; Fungi; Glomeromycota; Glomeromycetes; Glomerales; Glomeraceae
Also listed under: 2 other names
Description: tRNA-Asn
Rfam family: tRNA
About the family: Transfer RNA (tRNA) molecules are approximately 80 nucleotides in length. Their secondary structure includes four short double-helical elements and three loops (D, anti-codon, and T loops).
Source: RNAcentral
GCCAUUGUGGCUCAGCGGUUAGAGCGUAUCACUGUUAAUGAUUUUGUCCUGGGUUCGACUCCCAGCAAUGGCU